Molecule: ribosomal RNA, 647 nt
Filed under: Helotiales sp. OTU108 AN-2016
Lineage: Eukaryota; Fungi; Ascomycota; Leotiomycetes; Helotiales
Description: eukaryotic LSU rRNA
Rfam family: 5.8S ribosomal RNA (bases 236-404)
Source: RNAcentral
AUAUACUCGGUUACAGUGGGAAACCCCUGUAUCUAUAACGACCGUAGGUGAACCUGCGGAAGGAUCAUGUAAAGAAUGAAGCCUGGGAAACCGGUCCUUCUUUCAACCCUGGAUUAUCUGAAUCUUGGUGCUUUGGUGGAGCCGCGCAAGCACCAGCUGUCAUGCUGGAUCGUGCCCGCCACAGGACCACAACUCUGUAUUAAAUGUCGUCUGAGGUACUGCAUAUAAUAGUUAAAACUUUCAACAACGGACCUCUUGGUUCUGGCAUCGAUGAACAACGCAACCGAAAUGCGAUAAGUAAUCUACGACGAUUGCAGUAAUUCAGAGAAUCAACGAAUCCGUGAUACGAAAUCAUUCGCUGUCCACUCGGGGUAAUUCCCGGAGGGACCAUUGUCACCGUUCCAAUCGUCAUAAGAGAUCCAAAUCACGCACUUCGUAGGGUGGACUUGGAACCCGGCCAGGAAAACCGGUCCCUCUCUUAAAAAAUAGGUGGCCGGUGGCUCUUAAAGCUUCUACCCCGUACUAAUUUUUCUUCGCUACAGAGUCUUGAUUGGACUUUGCCAACAACCCCAAUUAUUUUAAGGUUGACCUCCGAACAAGAGGGAAACCCGCCCAAAUUAACCAUAUCAUAAACGGGGGGGAAAAAA